This 72-nucleotide transfer RNA is filed under the name Mesalina olivieri. RNAcentral's name for it is "tRNA-Phe". It matches the Rfam family "tRNA". From Rfam's summary of the family: Transfer RNA (tRNA) molecules are approximately 80 nucleotides in length. Lineage: Eukaryota; Metazoa; Chordata; Lepidosauria; Squamata; Lacertidae. The record is from RNAcentral.
GUUAAUGUAGCUUAUCUUAUUAAAGCACAGCACUGAAAAUGCUGGGAUGAGGAGUAAUAUCCUCCAGAAACA